UGAGGAAUAUUGCGCAAUGGGGGCAACCCUGACGCAGCGACGCCGCGUGAGUGAGGAAGGCCUUCGGGUCGUAAAGCUCUGUCAAAGGGAAAGAAGUGCAUGGUGGCUAAUACCUGCCAUGUUUGACGGUACCCUUAAAGGAAGCACCGGCUAACUCCGUGCCAGCAGCCGCGGUAAUACGGAGGGUGCAAGCGUUGUUCGGAAUCACUGGGCGUAAAGGGCGCGCAGGCGGUUUGGUAAAUCAGAUGUGGAAGCCCACGGCUUAACCGUGGAAGUGCAUUUGAUACUGCCAGACUUGAGUACCAGAGGGGAAAGUGGAAUUCCCGGUGUAGAGGUGAAAUUCGUAGAUAUCGGGAGGAAUACCGGUGGCGAAGGCGACUUUCUGGCUGAGUACUGACGCUGAGGCGCGAAAGCGUGGGGAGCAAACA
RNAcentral lists this ribosomal RNA (428 nucleotides) under uncultured prokaryote. RNAcentral's name for it is "bacterial SSU rRNA". It matches the Rfam family "Bacterial small subunit ribosomal RNA", at positions 355 to 774 of the family's 1533-position model. The record is from RNAcentral.